This is a long non-coding RNA of Argentina anserina (silverweed cinquefoil), 672 nucleotides long. RefSeq lists it as uncharacterized. Lineage: Eukaryota; Viridiplantae; Streptophyta; Magnoliopsida; Rosales; Rosaceae. The record is from RefSeq and is a predicted model, not a curated record. The transcript has 3 exons.
AAUAUAAAUUUGUUGUUGCAAUGCAGCUCUGGAGUUAACGAUUUCAAUGUCCUUAAUUUUUAUGAAUCAAAUUUUAGAAUGCUAAUGAAUUCUUCAGCCUUAUCUGCAUCUUGGCUUCACUGUUACAGCGUCCCUCGGCUUUUGAAAUAUACCUAUCAAAAUUCAUUAAUUAAUGUUUCUUCAGUUUUUGGUGAUAUGGGAUUAGAUAACUUUAUUUUGAUAAUAUGUGUGUAACAGUUGUUUUAGUGUUAGAGAUUGCAACUGUUUAACUAGGAAGUUUCUGCUCUACUUUAAGGGAUUCAGGCUUUACCAUGCAUUUGACAACGAGAUGAUCCAUGCAUUUUCGGUUAGUUCUAUGUAUAUUGUUUCUUGCAUAUUAUGUAUUUGUAUUUCAUGAUGUUGAAACCAUAGCAUUCUUCUGUAGCAUGAUGUGAGCCUCUUAUUGCAUAGUAAACGUUUCAACCUUAUUGCAGAACCUGACUUUAUCUUUCUCUUCCUAUGAUGUCAAUUUGGAUUUUUGGCAACAUCAGCUUCUCAGAAUGCAGUUUUGAAGCUAUUAUGGAGUUGCAUACACUCUUGCAGGUGAAUGCUUAUUAGGCCAAAAAUUAAAACUCGAUGACAGAGGGAUGCCAAUCUAAUCUUCUAAAGGCAUUAUUUCGGUUAAUGCAGGUG